This 104-nucleotide microRNA precursor is filed under the name Canis lupus dingo (dingo). RNAcentral describes it as "mir-8834 microRNA precursor family". It matches the Rfam family "mir-8834 microRNA precursor family". Lineage: Eukaryota; Metazoa; Chordata; Mammalia; Carnivora; Canidae. The record is from Rfam by way of RNAcentral.
AGGAGGAACAACUGCAGUGGCAGGGCCAGCUCUGGGCCCUGGAUUCAGCCCCCGCAGGAACUCCGGAGCUCUCGGUCUGCAGGGCCUGGAGGCUCCGGGGCGGG